AAGUCGUAACAAGGUUUCCGUAGGUGAACCUGCGGAAGGAUCAUUAGCUUAUAGAGACGAGCCGGGCGGCGCAAGCCAUUCGGCCGUCAUCUACAAACACCGUGUGAACGAGGAACAAGUUUACGAGUCUUGAUGCUCGGCCUUAACCGGGCUGGGCAUCAGCAUUCGGCCUUAAACCUUUGUAACAAACGCGCUAACAAAACAAAAAAACAAAAUAUAUACACAACUUUUAACAAUGGAUCUCUAGGCUCCU
RNAcentral lists this unclassified non-coding RNA (253 nucleotides) under fungal sp. RNAcentral describes it as "partial internal transcribed spacer region". The stretch from base 1 to 46 matches the Rfam family "Eukaryotic small subunit ribosomal RNA", at positions 1786 to 1831 of the family's 1831-position model. Lineage: Eukaryota; Fungi. The record is from RNAcentral.